This 1324-nucleotide long non-coding RNA is filed under the name Monodelphis domestica (gray short-tailed opossum). Its description in RNAcentral is "lncRNA (ENSMODG00000050962.1)". The record is from RNAcentral. Lineage: Eukaryota; Metazoa; Chordata; Mammalia; Didelphimorphia; Didelphidae.
CAAGGUCUUUCAGAGGAAGGGAACCAUGCCAAUGCCUCAUUAUUAUUAAUGAAUAAUAAUAGCUUAUAUUUAUAUGACACUUCACGGUUUACAAGAUAUAUUACAUUCAGUCUAAUUUUAUCUUCAGCAACCUUGUGAGGGAGAAAGAACAUGUUUUGUUAUUGCCAUUAUUCAAUCGAGGAAAAUAAAACGAGGAGGUGUAAAGUGAUUUGUCCAUACAAGCAAUUUGUAAGUGUAUCAAUGCAUUAUGGUGUGGAAGCUGCUGGAUUCCUGCGGUGUUUCAUUCAUGACAACGGUGAUGGCUAUUUGAAUCAACAUAAAUGAAGGAUCACUAAAGGCAAUCCAGAAAUUCAACAGCUGCUUAACUGCUGACUAUAUUACUACAUUCAGGAUGUUCCACUACCAAAGAAGAAGGCAAUCUUGCUUUACAGUCCCACCCAGAGUGCUGACUUCCACUUGAGUUGUAUCCAAUCAUGGUUUUUAUUGUAAAGGAAACCCAUGAAAUUCCAUCCAAGGAGAGCUGCUCUGAGGAUGGAUGGUUAUUCUCCUUGGCAUCACAUUACUGAUUAAAGUAAGCUGGAUUCUCCUGCCUACCUCUCUUACAAAGCUCAGUCAUUUAAGGUAGUUGAAUUCUCUGUUAAAACUUUGCAAGUUGAUUAAUAGUCAAAUUAUAAAGAAUCUUCAUCUGCACCAACUUAAUGCAAUGUUGCAUAUUUUAUUCUGUUUUUCUAUGUCUCUUAACCCCCAAAAGAAAGAGAAAACUUCCAUCUCAACUCUAUUUCUGGGAGAUACAAUCCUAAAUUGAUCCAGUGAUAUCCUUGUUUCUCUUGGCACACCAUUCUAGCUAUUCUGAGUCCUAGUCCUAUGAAGAUAAACUGAUGAUAAGUCUUAAGCUGUCAUAGAGAAGGAAAUCCAUAUACCUAGUUACCAUUUAAUCAUUGUGACAAGAUUUAUUCUGACAUAUUGCCUUUCCAAUUAGGAAAAAAAAUAGGAAAAUGUACUAAGGACCAAUGAAUGAAUAUAUUUUUCCUGACAAACUUUCACUUCAAUCCUUCCUAGUCUAUGAAUGGAGACAAUGACUAAUAAUCUCUUCUGUCCUUUUUGUGGGGGAAAGGGGUAUGGAUGCUUUCAGCUCCUGAAGAGGAACUGUUUUCAUCCUUAAUUGAUUAUGGGGAAAUGAGGCAUUUAAAGAAUUUCAAAUUCAACUCUGUUUUUUUUCCAGUUGCUAAUUUAACCCUGGAAAUGAACUAAGGCUGGAGGAUUCUUGUCCUAAUCUUAGAUAGCCAUAGUCUUCCCUUCUUCAUUGAGUUUCCUUUCCUAAAUG